Arachis ipaensis is the source of this 651-nucleotide non-coding RNA. The record is from RefSeq and is a predicted model, not a curated record. NCBI's taxonomy places the organism in Eukaryota, Viridiplantae, Streptophyta, Magnoliopsida, Fabales, Fabaceae.
AUAAAAAAAUACUACUAAGGAAAAGUUUAAACUUGGCAUAUCGUAUAUAUCUUUUUUAUAAGACGAAAAGAAAAAAGAGAAAUGGCUAUGAAGAGUGUAAUAAUAACAUUGCUUAUUAUUGGAGUAGUUAUGUGUUUUGUUUUCGCUGAGUCUCAUGAAAUUAUUCUCAAAGAGUCUUCUACUCCAUCUUAUUAUACUAUACAGAACCCUAGAGAUGUGGAUAGCAUCAUUCCAAAUUUGAGAAAAUGUAUCAAAGAUUGUAUAAACAGUGGAGGUGGAAAGGGAUGGUUGAUGCAGUGCGUUGAUCAUAUAUGCUUGGACAAGUUCCUACCUCUCUAGUACUUUCAAAAUGGGUUGUUAGAGUUGAUGAAAUUUAAAUAAACAUUCUAAUAUAAUGUUUUGGACUUCAAGUCUAUUGGCUCAGUUAUACACUAUAUAUAGACAAUAGUUGCUACCAAAAUAACCAGCAAAUAUAAUAAAAUGGCACAUCUUAAUACCUCUACCUAUGUUUGGAAGUUGUCUAAUAAGUUCAGUUGUAUGAAUAAUCCUUUCUAGUGAUGUGUAUGUGUCUGUGUACCAUAAGUGAAUUGUUGUAAUAAAUAGAGUAAUAAAAUGUUGUAAUAAAAUAAAAUAGAUGUUGUUUAUUACAUA